This is a long non-coding RNA of Talpa occidentalis (Iberian mole), 679 nucleotides long. RefSeq lists it as uncharacterized. NCBI's taxonomy places the organism in Eukaryota, Metazoa, Chordata, Mammalia, Eulipotyphla, Talpidae. The transcript has 5 exons. The record is from RefSeq and is a predicted model, not a curated record.
UUAUAUUCCUGGAAUGAGAAUCACCAAGACUUCAAAGGGAAGGGACGUGAUGAUUGAACAUGAUGGUAUACUUGCUACAAUAUCUGGCAGUUCUAGAAAACCAAUAAAUGCUGGCAAGAAAUCAAACAAGCAUCAGACAGAUUGACAAGACAAAAAGCCAAAGAGAAGUUUAAUAAUAGCAUGUAUACCUCCUGUCUAUGCCGAGAGAACCAGCAUGACUGAGAACUCACAGCCGUGGAUUCAGACACCAUCUUAAAUAACUGAAAUAAGACAGGAGGCUGGAGAAUGAAAAGAAAGAGAAAGAAAUAUAGUUCAGGGCCUGUCAAGGUAGAGGCACCUCGUCAAACACUCGAGAUCUUCAAUCAAGACCCUAAAGGACACCCUGUAGGAAUAAAGCCUCCAGUGGGAUCAUCACGGGAGCCGCACCUUGUUGUCUGUGCUGUGGACUCACACCUGUUCUUAAGUCACAGAGACAUCACUAACACUCGGACACACAGCCCCCUGCAUCCCCUUAGACUUCAGAGCCCCAGCCUGUGCCAAAAAUCUGGCAGGUAUCCUCCUGCUCUCAGAGCUGCUGCCUCUGCCACAGACUCACCUACUGCUGUAGCUGUGGGGGCUGACACUGAGCCUGUUGGGACACCCAGAAGUUCCUGUCCAGCAGUUGGGUGCUGAGCGUCCA